Molecule: long non-coding RNA, 733 nt
Organism: Neopelma chrysocephalum (saffron-crested tyrant-manakin)
Lineage: Eukaryota; Metazoa; Chordata; Aves; Passeriformes; Pipridae
Exons: 2
Source: RefSeq, a predicted model, not a curated record
AAAAAAAAUUCCUCAUGGAAAGGGUUUCCAAGCAUUUAAACAGUCCGCGCGCCGUCCCUGGUGGUGCUUAAAAUAGAUUUAAAAGCCCCGUGGCUGCGGCACGUUGCGAACAGGGCUCAGCGGUGUUAGGUUCGCAGCCGGACUCAGAAGUCGCCCCCACCCCAAAUGAUGCUCCGAUGUCUCUUUGCAGUUGUAAGCAGGUGGUUUUCGCCUUAAAACCCUGGUUUUCACGUGAUUUCACGAUUCUGGUGUUAAGGAAACUUCCCUGCCCGACCGUCCAGGAGCCGCUCUGGCGGUGACACUGUGGCACGACCUUCGGUCCCCCUGCAGCUGCACCCGGAGCUGCCUGCACUGAAUAUGUUCCUCGGCUCCAGCACCAGAGAGUUCAGAGAGACACUGUCGCUGAACUCCAGGCGCUCCCAGCGCGGAACAUCAAGGCGGGAGGUGAGGACAAGGCUGUGCCCACCAGCAGCUUUGGGAAAGAUGGACCAGCCAGUGGAGAGUCAAUGCAUUUUUUCCACUAUGACAAGAAUACCAAAGAUAAAAAGGAGCCAGUGCCCCGCCUUGGCUGCUUGCAACCCCUCUCCAGUGCGGACAGAGCGCGGGCCCCGGGGCGAAACCAAACUGUCACUGUGUGAGGUAUUGUGAAAAUGGGAACCAUUUGUUUUGUCCAGCAAACCUGAGGUAAAUAUACCAUCUUUGCAGGAUGUGAUAAGGAAGGAAAAGGGAAAAG